Molecule: ribosomal RNA, 228 nt
Filed under: Clostridioides difficile
Lineage: Bacteria; Bacillati; Bacillota; Clostridia; Peptostreptococcales; Peptostreptococcaceae
Description: partial 23S ribosomal RNA
Rfam family: Bacterial large subunit ribosomal RNA
Source: RNAcentral
CUAAGUACCUGAAGGAAGAGAAAGAAAUUCGAUUCCGUAAGUAGCGGCGAGCGAACGCGGAUUAGCCCAAACCAAUAAAGUUUUCUUUAUUGGGGUUGCGGACAUAUCAUAACGAAGAGGUAUCGUAAUUGAAGAGGUUUGGAAAGACCCACCACAGAAGGUAAUAGUCCUGUAUGUUAAACGAGAAGACUUUAGAUAUGAUCCAGAGUACCACGGGACACGUGAAAC